Pelobates cultripes (western spadefoot toad) is the source of this 387-nucleotide non-coding RNA. Lineage: Eukaryota; Metazoa; Chordata; Amphibia; Anura; Pelobatidae. The record is from the annotation of a GenBank genome assembly.
CAAUGUAGUUGUUUACAAAGUCCAAGCUCUAGUUGAAGAACACCAACAGCUUAAAAGGAAACUAGCUGCUCACGGCAUAAUAAUGUCCACUUAGAUCCUAGACCUCUGAAAAGCUCUAAUAUCUGCCAUUAAGGAAGGGGACUGGCUAAUGGACAAAGCCCAUUGCUUACUCAGGCCUUAACAUUUCACAGCAGACACCCCGAGAGAUGCAGGGGUGAAAUUCCACUACUUCAAAGUCAAAGAUGCCAAGCUGGUGACAGCGAGAAAGCUGUAGGAAUUGGCAGAACCUUACCAAGACAUUCAACUCUUCGCAGAUCUCUCAGCUCUCCUGUGCGUGAUUCCAACUGUUCGCAGAUCUCUCAGCCCUCACAAUGGGGAGACGUAGAG